This 154-nucleotide unclassified non-coding RNA is filed under the name Gigasporaceae sp. RNAcentral describes it as "partial contains small subunit ribosomal RNA, internal transcribed spacer 1, and 5.8S ribosomal RNA". The stretch from base 1 to 46 matches the Rfam family "Eukaryotic small subunit ribosomal RNA", at positions 1786 to 1831 of the family's 1831-position model. The record is from RNAcentral. Lineage: Eukaryota; Fungi; Glomeromycota; Glomeromycetes; Diversisporales; Gigasporaceae.
AAGUCGUAACAAGGUUUCCGUAGGUGAACCUGCGGAAGGAUCAUUAGAAAAAAUUGAGGUAUUUUUAUACCUCUUGUAUUUAAAAUCCAACUCUAUAUAAACCUAAAUUUUUUAAUAAAAAUAAAAACUUUCAACAACGGAUCUCUUGGUUCUG